Cynoglossus semilaevis (tongue sole) is the source of this 3401-nucleotide RNA transcript. It is a transcript of the gene named TIA1 cytotoxic granule-associated RNA binding protein-like 1, with no coding region annotated. The record is from RefSeq and is a predicted model, not a curated record. The transcript is spliced from 15 exons. Lineage: Eukaryota; Metazoa; Chordata; Actinopteri; Pleuronectiformes; Cynoglossidae.
UCCGGUUACGCGGUGAUGUCAUACGUGGAGCCCGGUUACCUUCUUUACAAGCUAGUUUGCUCGUUGUCGUGGUUGGAACCGCACACUAGUAUCGAUCCGUUAAUUAAAUACAUUCUUACUAAUAUUUUGUGAUUUGGUGAACGCAGGGAGCGACCAUGGACGACGAUGUUUACCCCAGAACAUUGUACGUUGGAAAUCUGUCAAGGGAAGUAACAGAAAGUCUGAUUCUCCAGCUGUUCACCCAGAUAGGCCCUUGCAAAAGUUGUAAAAUGAUCACUGAGCACACAAGCAACGACCCCUAUUGUUUUGUGGAGUUCUUUGAGCACAGACAUGCUGCAACAGCCCUUGGUGCCAUCGAUAAGAGGAAAAUAUACGGGAAGGAGGUCAAAGUAAAUUGGGCAACCACUCCCAGUAGCCAGAAGAAAGAUACAUCCAGUCACUUCCAUGUUUUUGUGGGUGAUCUGAGCCCUGAGAUUACCACAGAGAGUAUAAGGUCUGCUUUUGCACCUUUUGGGCAUAUCUCGGAUGCUCGUGUUGUGAAGGACAUGGCGACAAACAAAUCAAAGGGGUAUGGAUUUGUGUCCUUCUACAACAAACUGGAUGCAGAGAAUGCCAUUUCCCACAUGGCCGGGCAGUGGCUUGGAGCACGACAAAUAAGGACCAACUGGGCAACACGUAAACCACCAGCUCCAAAGAGUUCCCAGGAGACAAGUAGUUCAAAACAGCUGAAGUUUGAAGAUGUAGUGACUCAGUCCAGUCCACAAAAUUGCACAGUAUACUGUGGUGGGAUCCAGUCAGGGCUGUCAGAACAUCUUAUGCGGCAGACAUUCUCUCCUUUUGGUCAAAUAAUGGAAAUCAGAGUUUUUCCAGAGAAAGGAUACUCUUUCAUCAGAUUUGCCACUCAUGACAUUGCUGCCCACGCCAUUGUUUCCGUCAAUGGUACUUCUAUUGAAGGCAAUUUAGUGAAGUGCUACUGGGGAAAAGAAUCAUCUGAUAUGGGAAAAGUUCCACAGCAGACGGAGUUCAAUCAGUGGGGCCAGUGGAACCCUUUCUAUGACAGUCCACAGCAACAACAGCAGCAGCCACAGCAGCAGCAGCAUUACGGUCAAUAUGUGACCAAUGGAUGGCAAGUUCCCUCUUACAACAUGUACAGCCAAGCAUGGAACCAACAAGGAUAUGGAGUAGAGCAAUCCCAGUCAUCAGCCUGGAUGGGAAGCUUUGGAAACCCAUCAGCCCAUGCUGCAACCCCACCUGGUUCUGUAAUGUCCAAUCCAGCCAACUUCAGCAUGGCUGGGUAUCAGACACAGUGAGCUGGUCUUCGCCUCUGCAGGAAGCUCUGGAGAAUAAAUGACACCCAUUACAUCACACAGCAUCCUCAAGUGAACAGCUUUGGUAAAACAGCAGGGGGGGCAUAUUCACAAAGCCUUUGUAGAAGAAUGAAGCUGCUGUUCAACAAGCUUGUUUGAUUACAUCACUAUCUGAGAGGCACAGUAAUGGAGCCUAGUGAGCAUUCCUGAAAUGUACACAGUAUUUACAUCGAACUACAGAAUACAUGACUUCAACUGAAUGGCAGCGUGAGUUAAGUGCUGAAGUAUUUUGUAUUUUAUUGUUGAUAUGACUGAGUAAUUGUCACAGUAAUAGAACAGUAAGAUAACAACAUCCAUCUGUGUUUAACUUUUGACAUUCUCCUGUGUCAGCUGAUGUCCACAGUGCUGUGAUAGUUGUGUGUCUCACAUUGUCACAUGUGACAGUCAACAUUGGUGGGAACCUCUGGUCUCCUGAAGGAGAGAUUGCUCCUGGUGCCUCUGUCCACACAAACCAGGAUGCUCCCGUCUGAGGCAGUGUCAUCAUCCUGGUUGGGGGUGAAAAGGAGUUUCUCCACAAUCAGAUCAAUCCUCUGUGUGAUGCCUGUCAUGGAGCUCUCCAGAUGGAGGACCUGUCUGGACAGCCUUGAAUGACAAAAGAAAAAGACAGGUGAGCUCAUGGUUUAUUGAAAAACUAAAUAUUGUAUUAUCUUUCAAAUAUUAAAAAUAUUGCCAACUUUAAAAACUGCUCCCGGUUCACAAAGAUUUGACCGGUGUGCCUCUGCUCGUUGGAGUUUUUGGCCGGUUUCUCAAGUAAGUCUUUCUCAUAGUUCUUCCCCAGUUUGUUCAGUUCAGCACUCAGAGCAUCCUGACAGACACAGACAAAUGAAUUAGUUUCAGGGUCGGAUUUAAACCAGUGGUAAUGGCUCUAAGAAAGUUUAGCUUUUUAUAAAAUGUCAUACAAAUUAUAUAAAUGAAAGGUUUAUCUGACUACUUAGAAUUAAUUAUUUAUCACAGAUCUGUUGUGAUGUUUUUUCUUUUAUAUACAUAUAUUAUAAUGUAUAAAGUAAUUCAAAUUAAACCUUUUUGAAGCUCAGCUAUUAUUGGCUUCUAUGAGUCAAAACAUUUUUUUUUGACCGGGGCAUUAGACUGCAUCAAAAACAUCAAGUCCAUGAAGGUUUUGUCUUGCAGCCUGUUUUGUGGUGUUAGCAUGGUCCAACUGAAGUGGUGUUUGUAUAAUGUGAAUAAACCAUUCUACAUUAACAGAUAAUUUAUAUUAAAAUAACCACUUAUUUUCCCUUUUUCACAGACCAGCCACCACAUCUGGGUCAAACAAUCUACUGCCACAAACCCUCUUUUCCUCCAGCUCCAUUUUCAUUCUCUGUUGUUCGUCUUUGUCCAAAAUCUGGUUCCCGUCAUGGUCAAACUGUGAGAAAGCUGCAGAAAUCUCAUGAUCAGCAUGUCCCAUCCUGUGAGAGUAGCAGAGCAGAGCUAAUUACUUUGGACUCUUCAACUACAAAGGCCAUGUUUGGACUGUCACUUACUCUUUCAGAGUUUCUCUGAAGUCCUUGAAUUCAAUCUCUCCAGAUCCAGAAUGUAAGGCUUUCUGGACAUCAGAUAUUUUCUCCUUUUUGAGUUUCAACUUCAUGAAGGUCUUCAUGUAGCUCUGAACCAUUUAAGUAACAAUUCUUCAGUUUGUAGUUUGGUAAAAGAGUAAAAAUAACUGUUGAAUUAUUGUCUUCACCUGUUUGAUGAUGUCUGUGAUCUGUAGCUCAUCCUUCUGCGAUGAGAGCUCCUCCUUGACCUCAGAGUACGUGUCAUUUAUGAUGGCUAAAAACAUGUUCUGAGACCAAAACCAUGCAGUGAGACAAGCCUUUGUCCACCUUGUAUAUCAUUUGUUAAAGAAGACUGACUUACCAACAAGACAAAGAAGACAAAGAACACGUAGGUGACAAAGUAUAUCGGUCCAAGAACUCUGUUAGCACGGUCGAUAGCGUCAUAAUCAAAGUCUCCCAGAAUAAUCCUGAACUGGGUGAAGCUGUGGAAUGGAAAUGUCAAAAUUGAGUUUAUUUUUAAAUACAUUUAUAUUUAAAGAAA